RNAcentral lists this transfer RNA (69 nucleotides) under Marmota marmota marmota (Alpine marmot). It matches the Rfam family "tRNA". From Rfam's summary of the family: Transfer RNA (tRNA) molecules are approximately 80 nucleotides in length. Lineage: Eukaryota; Metazoa; Chordata; Mammalia; Rodentia; Sciuridae. The record is from Rfam by way of RNAcentral. RNAcentral also lists the same sequence under 1 other name.
GGGGUUGUGGCUCAGUGGUAGAGCACUUGCCUAGCACGUGCAAGGCCCUGGGUUCAAUCCUCAGCACCA